RNAcentral lists this ribosomal RNA (561 nucleotides) under uncultured bacterium. RNAcentral describes it as "bacterial SSU rRNA". It matches the Rfam family "Bacterial small subunit ribosomal RNA", at positions 79 to 636 of the family's 1533-position model. The record is from RNAcentral.
GCUUCUUUGCUGACGAGCGGCGGACGGGUGAGUAAUGCCUAGGAAUCUGCCUAGUAGUGGGGGAUAACUUGCCGAAAGGUAAGCUAAUACCGCAUACGUCUACGGGAGAAAGCAGGGGACUCUUCGGAGCCUUGCGCUAUUAGAUGAGCCUAGGUCGGAUUAGUUAGUUGGUGAGGUAAUGGCUCACCAAGACCAUGAUACGUAGCCGACCUGAGAGGGUGAUCGGCCACACUGGGACUGAGAACGGCCCAGACUCCUACGGGAGGCAGCAGUAGGGAAUCUUCCACAAUGGGCGAAAGCCUGAUGGAGCAAUGCCGCGCGAAUGAAGAAGGUCUUCGGAUCGUAAAGUUCUGUUAUUAGAGAAGAAAGAUUCAAGGCGUAACUAUCUUGAAUUUGACGGUACCUAACCAGAAAGUCACGGCUAACUACGUGCCAGCAGCCGCGGUAAUACGUAGGUGACGAGCGUUGUCCGGAAUUAUUGGGCGUAAAGGGAGCGCAGGCGGUUGGAACAGUCUGAUGUGAAAGCCCACGGCUUAACCGUGGAAGGUCAUUGGAAACUGU